CCGACGGUGAGGGGUGAAGGCUGGGGGCGCAAACCGGAUUAGAUACCCGGGUAGUCCCAGCAGUAGACGAUGCCAGCUAUGUGUUGCUGGAACCAUGGGUUCCAGCAGUGCCGAAGGGAAGCCGUGAAGCUGGCCACCUGGGAAGUACGGUCGCAAGGCUGAAACUUAAAGGAAUUGGCGGGGGAGUACCACAACCGGUGGAGCCUGCGGUUUAAUUGGAUACAACGCCGGGAAUCUUACCGGAGGGGACAGCAGUAUGAAGGCCAGGCUAAAGACCUUGCCAGAUCAGCUGAGAGGAGGUGCAUGGCCGUCGCCAGUUCGUACCGUGAGGCAUCCUGUUUAGUCAGGCAACGAUCGAGACCCGCAGUCUUAUUUGCCAGCAUGCCCUUUGGGGUGUAUGGGUACGAUAAGACGACCGCCAGCGCUAAGCUGGAGGAAGGAGCGGGCUACGGUAGGUCAGCAUGCCCCGAAUCCUCCGGGAUACACACGGGCUACAAUGGUCAGGACAAAAGGUACCGACCUCGAAAGAGUGAGGUAAUCCACAAACCUGAUC
This 553-nucleotide ribosomal RNA is filed under the name uncultured archaeon. Its description in RNAcentral is "bacterial SSU rRNA". It matches the Rfam family "Archaeal small subunit ribosomal RNA", at positions 691 to 1243 of the family's 1478-position model. The record is from RNAcentral.